UUUGGAUUCAACCUUCAUAAGUUUGCAGCGAUGAAUACUAAAAUAUAUCUAUUUCUGUUAAUUGCCGUUUUUACGGUUGUAUUGAUUUCCGAUGUUAUGGCUGCUCCAUCAGCUGAAAUAAAUUCUACUUCGCUCUCAAGAUCUAAGAGAGAUAUAUUAAAAGAAAUGAUAGACUCUUUUAUAAAAAUAAUGACAGAAAUCUAUUGUUUUACGCAUCCGAUUUGGACUCUGCUUAGUUCCUUAUUAUCAUUAUAAUAUUCAAGAUUAAAAUGCGUUUAAAAUAAGCUACGGCAUAAAAAGAUUAUGCCGCAAAUGAUUAUAAUAUAUUCAACAAAAUUUUCAAUUAUUGCUAGUAUUUAUUGCUAGUAAUAUAAUGUCUAUAAUAUUGUACAAGAAAUUUCAUAAAAUAAUAUUUUUGCUAUUAAAUUUAUGUCAAAUAUAAUAUGUAAUUAUGUUAUUUUAUUAUUAUAUUAAGCUAGUGAAAUAGUAAUCCUGUCACGAUUAGAUGACGAUAUAUACGAGAUAUAUAUGACGGAUAUAACAUAAUCUGUAAUAAUUUUUGUUAAUAACUUUUGUUUUUUUGAAUCUAUUCUAUCUUAAAAUUACUGCAAAAUAAAUCUUCUUAUCUGUCAUA
Long non-coding RNA from Cataglyphis hispanica, 634 nucleotides. RefSeq lists it as uncharacterized. The transcript has 2 exons. The record is from RefSeq and is a predicted model, not a curated record. NCBI's taxonomy places the organism in Eukaryota, Metazoa, Arthropoda, Insecta, Hymenoptera, Formicidae.